UGUUUAUCAAAAACAUUUCCACUUGUAAUAUUUUGUGGUAGUGCCUGCCCGAUGUUUUAUCAAUGGCCGCAGUAUCUUGACUGUGCUAAGGUAGCAUAAUUAAUUGCCUCAUAAUUGGAGGAUUGUUUGAAAGGUUUGACCAGGUAUUUUAUAUAGAUGGGGGCUUAUAUCGAAAUUGGGGUGCCUAUGCAGAUUUUGGCGUUCUUAAAUAAGACGGAAAGACCCCGAGAGCUUGACACUAUUUUGUGUUUAUUUGGGGUAAAGGCAUGUGUUUUAUAUGUUUUUUGAUCCUUUUGGAUUGUAGGUUUGAGUUACCUCGGGGAUAACUAGGUGAGAGAUAAGGAGAGGCCUUAUCGAUUUAUCUGAUUGCCAUCUCGAUGUUGACUUGGGGUAGUUGUGGAGGUGCAGGAGUUUUCAUAAUAGGUCUUGUUCGACCAUUAUUCCCCUCAUGAAUCU
This 456-nucleotide ribosomal RNA is filed under the name Petalocotyle diverticulata. RNAcentral's name for it is "partial 16S ribosomal RNA". It matches the Rfam family "Bacterial large subunit ribosomal RNA", at positions 1801 to 2607 of the family's 2925-position model. Lineage: Eukaryota; Metazoa; Platyhelminthes; Trematoda; Opisthorchiida; Gyliauchenidae. The record is from RNAcentral.